This 698-nucleotide ribosomal RNA is filed under the name uncultured Mucispirillum sp. RNAcentral's name for it is "bacterial SSU rRNA". It matches the Rfam family "Bacterial small subunit ribosomal RNA", at positions 24 to 710 of the family's 1533-position model. Lineage: Bacteria; Pseudomonadati; Deferribacterota; Deferribacteres; Deferribacterales; Mucispirillaceae. The record is from RNAcentral.
UCAGAACGAACGCUGGCGGCGUGCUUAACACAUGCAAGUCAGGGAGAAAGUUCUUUCGGGAGCGAGUAAACCGGCGCACGGGUGAGUAACAUGUGAGUAACCUUCCUUUUAGACUGGAACAACUUACCGAAAGGUGAGCUAAUGCCGGAUGAAUUAUGUAACCGCAUGGUUAUAUAGAAAAAGCCGGGGCAACCUGGCGCUAAAGAUGGACUCGCGUCCCAUUAGCUAGUUGGUGGGGUAGAGGCCUACCAAGGCGACGAUGGGUAGCCGGCCUGAGAGGGUGGCCGGCCACACUGGGACUGAGACACGGCCCAGACUCCUACGGGAGGCAGCAGUGGGGAAUUUUGCGCAAUGCUCGAAAGAGUGACGCAGCGACGCCGCGUGAAUGACGAAGGCCUUCGGGUCGUAAAGUUCUUUCGACAGGGAAGAAAUUGUGUAACAGUAACUGGUUAUAUAUUGACGGUACCUGUAUAAGCAGCCCCGGCUAACUCCGUGCCAGCAGCCGCGGUAAUACGGAGGGGGCGAGCGUUGUUCGGAGUGACUGGGCGUAAAGAGCACGUAGGCGGUGUUGUAAGUCAUUAGUCAAAGACUAGAGCUCAACUUUAGUAAGGCUAGUGAUACUAUAGUACUAGAGUAUCAGAGAGGAUUGCAGAAUUCCUGGUGUAGCGGUGAAAUGCGUAGAUAUCAGGAGGAAUACC